RNAcentral lists this ribosomal RNA (519 nucleotides) under Anaplasma platys. RNAcentral describes it as "bacterial SSU rRNA". It matches the Rfam family "Bacterial small subunit ribosomal RNA", at positions 22 to 569 of the family's 1533-position model. Lineage: Bacteria; Pseudomonadati; Pseudomonadota; Alphaproteobacteria; Rickettsiales; Anaplasmataceae. The record is from RNAcentral.
GCUCAGAACGAACGCUGGCGGCAAGCUUAACACAUGCAAGUCGAACGGAUUUUUAUCAUAGCUCGCUAUGAUAAAAAUUAGUGGCAGACGGGUGAGUAAUGCAUAGGAAUCUACCUAGUAGUAUGGGAUAGCCACUAGAAAUGGUGGGUAAUACUGUAUAAUCCCUGCGGGGGAAAGAUUUAUCGCUAUUAGAUGAGCCUAUGUUAGAUUAGCUAGUUGGUAGGGUAAAGGCCUACCAAGGCAGUGAUCUAUAGCUGGUCUGAGAGGAUGAUCAGCCACACUGGAACUGAGAUACGGUCCAGACUCCUACGGGAGGCAGCAGUGGGGAAUAUUGGACAAUGGGCGCAAGCCUGAUCCAGCUAUGCCGCGUGAGUGAGGAAGGCCUUAGGGUUGUAAAACUCUUUCAGUGGGGAAGAUAAUGACGGUACCCACAGAAGAAGUCCCGGCAAACUCCGUGCCAGCAGCCGCGGUAAUACGGAGGGGGCAAGCGUUGUUCGGAAUUAUUGGGCGUAAAGGGCA